RNAcentral lists this ribosomal RNA (1111 nucleotides) under uncultured bacterium. Its description in RNAcentral is "bacterial SSU rRNA". It matches the Rfam family "Bacterial small subunit ribosomal RNA", at positions 390 to 1512 of the family's 1533-position model. The record is from RNAcentral.
AGCCAUGCCGCGUGAAGGAUAAGGUCCUAUGGAUUGUAAACUUCUUUUGGGUGGGAGCAAUAAGUGUGACGAGUCACACGAUGAGAGUACCAUUCGAAUAAGCAUCGGCUAACUCCGUGCCAGCAGCCGCGGUAAUACGGAGGAUGCAAGCGUUAUCCGGAUUUAUUGGGUUUAAAGGGUGCGUAGGCGGUUUGUCAAGUCAGCGGUGAAACGCAAGGGCUUAACCCUUGACCUGCCGUUGAAACUGGCGGACUUGAAUGCGGAUGCUGUGGGAGGAAUGUGUGGUGUAGCGGUGAAAUGCAUAGAUAUCACACAGAACACCGAUUGCGAAGGCAUCUCACAAAUCCGUGAUUGACGCUGAGGCACGAAAGUGUGGGGAUCAAACAGGAUUAGAUACCCUGGUAGUCCACACUGUAAACGAUGAUGACUCGCUGUCGGCGAUAUACAGUCGGUGGCCAAGCGAAAGCGAUAAGUCAUCCACCUGGGGAGUACGACCGCAAGGUUGAAACUCAAAGGAAUUGACGGGGGCCCGCACAAGCGGAGGAACAUGUGGUUUAAUUCGAUGAUACGCGAGGAACCUUACCCGGGCUCGAACGGUAGACGAACAAUGUAGAGAUACAGCGGUCCUUCGGGACGUCUAUCGAGGUGCUGCAUGGUUGUCGUCAGCUCGUGCCGUGAGGUGUCGGCUUAAGUGCCAUAACGAGCGCAACCCUUGCCAUUAGUUACCAGCAUGUAGUGAUGGGGACUCUAGUGGGACUGCCACCGUAAGGUGAGAGGAGGGGGGGGAUGACGUCAAAUCAGCACGGCCCUUACGUCCGGGGCGACACACGUGUUACAAUGGUGGGUACAGAGGGCAGCUACCUGGCGACAGGAUGCAAAUCUCGAAAACCCAUCUCAGUUCGGAUCGGAGUCUGCAACUCGACUCCGUGAAGUUGGAUUCGCUAGUAAUCGCGCAUCAGCCAUGGCGCGGUGAAUACGUUCCCGGGCCUUGUACACACCGCCCGUCAAGCCAUGAAAGCUGGGGGUGCUUGAAGUCCGUGACCGAAAGGAGCGGCCUAGAGCAAAACUGGUAAUUGGGGCUAAGUCGUAACAAGGUAACCCGGGCGGCCGC